Cyprinus carpio carpio is the source of this 1242-nucleotide long non-coding RNA. The record is from Ensembl. Lineage: Eukaryota; Metazoa; Chordata; Actinopteri; Cypriniformes; Cyprinidae.
AAAAUACCAUAUAAUAUGCAUAAUAAAAGAAUUUUGUUGUCUAAAUCUGUUUGUAUUAUAACAGUAUUUUACAUCAAAAUACAUUAUUAUUGCUAUUUUAAACAUUCUGAUAUUCUUACAAUACACACACACACACACACACACACACACGUAUAUUAAUUGUAAGUGUGUUUUUAAAAUUAUUUGGUUAAGCAGCAUAUAAUUCUCUGAAUGUAUGAUUGUAUAAAAAAAAUCUUUAAAUCACACUAAUGGAUGACACAAAAUAUUAAUAAUAAUAUAUAACAAUUAUGUUAGCAAAGAACAUGUUACAUUUCCAGGUCUGUAUUGUCUGGAAUAUGUUUUGUUCCAGCACACCUGCGUAUGAUUUUCCAGACUUUGAUUAGCUGCUUCAGGUGUGUUUGAUUAGAGUUGGACGUAAACUCUGCAGGAAGGUAGAUCUCAGUAGCAACCCUGGUUUAAACAAUUAAAGGCCUUAAUGGAAAAGGCCUGUGGAAUGUUUGGAUAAUGAACUCUUGGAAAGGGUGUAAUUGGUGUCAGGUGUUCCAGUCAGUUCAGGUGUAACACCCCACCAUAAACAUAACUGCACAAUAUUAAUUCCCUGCUGUUCAAAAGGAAUAUGAAAAGACCUAUGAAAAAUAUUUCAAAAGGGUUGAGAAGACAUGUUGGCCUUCAUCAGUCUGCUGUGGUUUAUCUCAUCAGGAGGACAAUGAGCGGCGAUGACAGUUUCGUGAGCUCAGAGAGCACGCUUGGUGGCGAGCAUCUUUUAGCACCCUUCCCAGAUGGUGCGUGAUGUUCGGAAGUGGGGGAGCCACCAAUAAAUAUAUUUCCACAUUUAAACUACGGGAGAGGAAAGGAGUGUCGAUCAAAGAGCCAGAUCUCUGAGACAGGUACCAAUUACUCUCCGGAUCAGAAAUUUACCAUGAAUCUAUUCCUGCUUUUGUGUGCCUUUUAUAUUGCAGACAGUUUAAGGAAAGGCUGUCUUUGAUCAGACUGAUAAGCCAUGUUGUAUGCCAACACACGCAUUCACAUUCUAACACGCUGUGGCACACACACACUAACGCAUGCUAAAAUGCACUCAGUGCCACAUGUGCAGCCAAUUAGCAGCUGAGUGUUUAUGGGGGAUCCAGAUGAGUUUCAAACAGGGCACGCUCCUCGGCAGACUUUGAUGGCUUACAGCUUUAACCUGCUCUCAUCACACUGUUAGAGCAAAAAUGGAGGGAAAUGUUGCUGAAACGUUUGCUU